GAUGGAGCCCAAGUCCCAAGUUCAGAGACUCCAGUUCCUUCCCGAUUUGCUGGCUUAGCGCUAAGCCAAGGAAUGAGACCAACAACGCCAAUGCUGUUGAGGGCUGCUUGAAGCUACAGGUCUUUCAGGGCCCAGAUGGCUUUCCUGGCCUACUGUGUGCUCCCACUUACACAGAAGUGCACUCCCGCUAAAACUAGGAGCUCCGCAGCCAUGGCCUUUCCCAGAGAGACACUUAACUGGUGCCAUUUUUAUGAGGGAUAAUAAGACCGAUAUCAUUGCUGGUAUGUUGGUUCCAAGGUCCUUUCAUCUCCCACGCCUCAUCUGAUGUAGAGGACAGUCAGGAGUCGUCUAGAUGCUUAUCAUCGUGGUGUUCCCGAGGAACCACCAGAGCCAGAAUCGAUGGCUUUCAUUGAGCAGUUCUUUCAUGAGUCAAGUCCCCACAAUUCAAGUCCCCACAGGCUGAGGAUCACGAGGCAAGACAUUACAUAUCCCAGGCUGGUCUCAAGCUUGUGGCAUGGCUGAAGAGGACCUUGACUUUCGGAUCUGCAAACCUCUACUUCUUAAGUGCUAGGAUUAUAGGAUCUCACUCUGUAGCCCAGCCUGCUUUUGAAUCUGGGAUGUUUUCUCUGCCCCAGUCUCCCAUGUGAAGAAGGCAGCCCCGAGACCUCCUUUCACAUUUAACAUUUUUACAACUGGAGGAGAGAGUGAUGGAGGAGUCUCCAGGACAUGAUGGCCAGAAGCCUCACAUCUAGAAUAGCAGCCUGCAAAGGAGGUAAACAUGUCCUCAUCGGAAUACAGGAUCCUGCUUCUCCAGGAUGGAUCUCUCCUUC
Molecule: long non-coding RNA, 830 nt
Filed under: Mus caroli (Ryukyu mouse)
Lineage: Eukaryota; Metazoa; Chordata; Mammalia; Rodentia; Muridae
Description: lncRNA (MGP_CAROLIEiJ_G0005850.1)
Source: RNAcentral